Molecule: long non-coding RNA, 1463 nt
Organism: Pocillopora damicornis (cauliflower coral)
Lineage: Eukaryota; Metazoa; Cnidaria; Anthozoa; Scleractinia; Pocilloporidae
Source: RefSeq, a predicted model, not a curated record
UUCUUCUGUAACAAACACAAAGUCUCUUUCAUCUUGAAUUAAAUUUUAAACGAAGACUUGUCGUAGUGGACGAAGGGUUUGAAAAUUGGAGAAUAUCACUCGGGUGAUAUCCUCUGAUAUCCCAUAGUUUUAGCUCAUAUUUGGUCACGUGAUGAUUUAGACCAAUCGCAUACGAGCAAAAAUGUUUGAUAGAUCAUAACAUCGGAUUUUCCCUAGCUUUAGCUGGGGCAUAUUAAGUCUCGUGACGUGUUCACAUUAAAAAAAAUAAAUAUUUAGUUUUUAAUAAUCUCCAGCAUUUUAACUAAGGGGGUAGUACAUUUUCAAUAAAUUUAAAACCUUCGUAAACCGUUGCUUUACAUGCGGGUCGGCACACCACAAUAGUGUCUCCACUAUGCCCACACUUGUGAACGUCUUACCCUCUCGCACUUUAUAUAUUUCUCCCAUUUCCUAAUGCGUUGCGGGUAAAGUGUCACGGGUUGCGAUUAAAUUGCUAUCGGUGAAAGGAACCACCUUUCAUCUCCUAACCGUUCUUUUUCUUAUUUACCAAGUGUUCAGUUCAGAAGCGGGAUCGAGCCGUUCUGCUUGCUCUAUUGUGUAACAAAAUGGAUUAUGUAGCAUUUGAGAUCGAUUUUGUUUCUCAAAACAUAACCCGAGACGUAAUUUGCUUGAAUCAACGAUUGCAAGAUAUUCAUCAAAACUCCCAGACGAGACUGCUUCUACGCGUCUUAUCUUGUAGAGUAUAGAAAAAGUGUAAACUCGAAUUCACUUGUUCACUUACAAAAAUUACAAGGUGACCGAGGAGUAAUUGGGUUCUACAUAUGACAGAGAUUUUUAACUUAUGCAGAUGUGAUUCAGUUUUGAAAAAAGAACUUCGAAGGACGAAAGAUAACCUACGAUACAAAGAUGAGAAGAAAAAUAUGGCUAUAAUCAGUCUUCAGAAAGGAAUUAUUAGAGUGAUUUAACAAGAGGACGGGAACAUCAUUUCAGAACGGGAAAGCGCGGGGAUAGUCUGGACACGACUCUAUUUCGACUUCCGGUGUUGGCUUUGCCGUUCUCCCCGACAAGUUCAGGACGUCAUUACGCUAGUUUUCGCGUCGCGAUCAAAACGCCUAAGAUUUGCGUAAAUUGUGCACUUAUAGACGAGAUAAUGUUGUAUGGAAUGAUUUCAGAACUCAUUUCCAGGAUAACCUGGUCCCAUUCUUUGUUUUAUUCGGUGUAUUUGUAAAAAUUUACCGCUACAUUUAUGCUAGAUUCCAAAUAGGAAACGCGAUCGUUGGCAAGCGAUCCAAGAUUCCAGGGCUUAGUUCACUUUUAAUUGAGCAAGGCUUAAAACAACGUAAAGGCUUUUCUUUGAUACAUUUCUUAAAUCCUGUAUGAAAUCUCUAGGAAUGGGAUGCUGUUAAUUUUAUCAUGAAUUAAUUUAUUAAUAAACUUGCCUCAUGAUGAAGUUUAUCAAAAUGAAA